GCCGAGCGCGCGUCGACACUUGGAUCCGAGCGAUUUUCUCAAAUUGCGCAGCUGCCCCCACUAAGUUCCACCUCUCCGAACCAACACCAUGCAGAGGGAUAUUUAAGAGCACCGCAAGCGACGAUCGGACAGUCCUGAACGACCUUUCUGGGCUCCAUAACCAGCCAAGCGAAGUGAGCGAGGCAGGCCGACCUGAGUCGCGACGUGCACCGUAUUGACGUGAUUCGCAAACUUAGGCAGGCCAACUCGAGACGCAAGGUGUACCGAAGUGAGACGCCCAUCCGGAGGAGGACUUCUCUGGGACAAAAUAGAAAAUUAAAUUAUUAUUUUGACUUAUUUUGUACAUAAUUUAGAAUUAAUAGAUUUGCUUUGCUUUCAA
This is a long non-coding RNA of Diabrotica virgifera virgifera (western corn rootworm), 379 nucleotides long. RefSeq lists it as uncharacterized. The transcript is spliced from 2 exons. Lineage: Eukaryota; Metazoa; Arthropoda; Insecta; Coleoptera; Chrysomelidae. The record is from RefSeq and is a predicted model, not a curated record.